GCUUAGAGAAAACAGUUUUUCAACUGACUCUCAGUCAGUCUGGAGUUUGGAGUUCAAGCCUGAAGGUGUGGAUCUGGACUCUUCCUGGACAAACCCAUCUAUCAAGUUGCCUGUCUUAUAAUAACAUCAAGCAAAGGUGAAGAAGAAGUUCCCCAUUCAUUCUGGUGGACAGAGAAGCUUUUUCUGGAGUUUCUAAGGACUCUGCAACUGGACCUCUGCUGCCUGACCAACUAAGGACUCUGUGCAUUGAGCAUUAAGGAUACAAAGAAUGGCAAUAAACAGCCUCUGCUAUGAAGAAGCUCAGAGCAUAAUUGAGGAGGCAAUAUGUAUGCAGUUUUGCACAAAGAAGAUGCACAAGGGAUCAUAUUUAGGAGACAAUCUCAGAGGGAAACCAUUAAAGCUUCUUGGAGAAGGUGGGACAUUUUCUGGGACAAAAAGGAAGGCAGGAAAUAGAGGUGAGAAGGGAAAGAAUGAGUCAUAGUCAAUUAAAACUUGAACUGGGAGAUGGUCUUGUGAAAGGAAGAAUAAAGAUGGCAGCAUUACUGGAUAGAUAACACAGUACAUGGAGAGAAGUAAGGUAUAAGAAGACUGGAAAGGCAAGAAGAGGCCAAGUUAUAAAGGACUUUAAAAGACAAA
Long non-coding RNA from Monodelphis domestica (gray short-tailed opossum), 636 nucleotides. RefSeq lists it as uncharacterized. NCBI's taxonomy places the organism in Eukaryota, Metazoa, Chordata, Mammalia, Didelphimorphia, Didelphidae. The record is from RefSeq and is a predicted model, not a curated record.